AUAUGUGUGGAAGAGAGACGGAAGGAGAGGAGAAAAUGAUUAGAGGGGAGAAGGAGAAGAGUGAAAGAGGAGUAGUAUUUAGUGACCAGAACUGUAUGGAGUGUAUCUUUUGCGUGUGUGUGUGUGUGUGUGUGUGUGUGUGUGUGUGUGUGUGUGGGUGGGGGGGGGGGUAUCUAUAUAGUUUGUAUCUAUAUUAAGUUAAUGUUUGGUGUGUGUCUAUUUGGUGUGUUUAUCUUUAUGUUGUGUAUCUAUAUGGUGUGUAACUAUGGUGUAUGUGUAUCUGGUGUAUACCUAUGGUGUGCGUUGUGGCGUCCCGCCCCUUAAACCUCGGCCCUGACGGGCCCGAGGUUUCAUCCUGGACGGAAGAUACGACCGUCACCCACCAGCUGGCGACGGAGAGCACCUACCGAACCCCAAUCAGCGAGAUGGGAGACACCUGGCUGGACAGCCAGGAAGAGACUUUAAAAGGAGCAUGAGGACUGACAUUUGCGAGGAACGGGAGCCAGAGAGAAGGAAGCGCUCGGGUCCGCGAGGGGCUAGAGGCUCACGGAGACCCUAGAGUACGUUAAAGACUUUUUGAAGUAAAGAGGAGCAUCUCAUCUGAACCUGAUGUCUAUCUUGGAUAUUUAACUGCAGUUCUGUGAGUAUCCCAACUUAACCAUGAAGAUGAACUGCAAACUGUAAGUCAUUAAUUUCUCAUUACUCUUGGGCACAUUGAUGUAUUUUGGCUUCCUGGUGAGUUAACCUGUUACCUGAUUGUUGUUCUGAGUAGUAAGGAUGUUUUAUUGGUUCAUGGGUUACUUAGGUGUUUGGUUGAUGUUGGUUUUAAUGAUUUGUUAAAAUGGUUACAGGCUCCAGUUAUUGUAAGCUGGAAUAAUGGGUUGGGUUCUGAUUUCGUCAGUCUUCUUUCAUUCUACUCUCCUGAGCUCUGCAUCUGCAUCACAUGAGUGUUGCUUUACUGAUGAGCGUGUGGUCUGAGUGAGCAGAGGUGCAUACUGGGAAACUGAGCUUUCUGAAGUCUACAGGUCUGUAGACACGCCUCCUCAGGGGAAACCAAGUGUUUGAGAAACUGUCGUGACGUCAGUUACAUGGACUGGAAUGUUCUUAAAGAUGGACACAGGGAUUCAGAAGGAGAAACACCAUGGGAAGAUGAGGGGGCUCCUCAUCUCAACGACUAAAACAAAACUUCAGUCUGACACAGAGAACCAUGGAACGCAUUCAACAGUCCCCUCCAGGCAUCGUGACUCCUCAGGAACAGUUUCAUUUCCAUGAAGGUCUUAUUUGGGGCCAUCCCCAGAUGGAUCCUGCUCCUCAAGAGCCACCCCACUCCA
Long non-coding RNA from Gadus macrocephalus (Pacific cod), 1331 nucleotides. RefSeq lists it as uncharacterized. Lineage: Eukaryota; Metazoa; Chordata; Actinopteri; Gadiformes; Gadidae. The transcript has 3 exons. The record is from RefSeq and is a predicted model, not a curated record.